Molecule: ribosomal RNA, 504 nt
Filed under: uncultured bacterium
Lineage: Bacteria
Description: partial 16S ribosomal RNA
Rfam family: Bacterial small subunit ribosomal RNA
Source: RNAcentral
AUUGAACGCUGGCGGCAGGCCUAACACAUGCAAGUCGAGCGGUAGCACAGAGAGCUUGCUCUCGGGUGACGAGCGGCGGACGGGUGAGUAAUGUCUGAGAAACUGCCUGAUGGAGGGGGAUAACUACUGGAAACGGUAGCUAAUACCGCAUAAUGUCGCAAGACCAAAGUGGGGGACCUUCGGGCCUCAUGCCAUCAGAUGUGCCCAGAUGGGAUUAGCUAGUAGGUGGGGUAACGGCUCACCUAGGCGACGAUCCCUAGCUGGUCUGAGAGGAUGACCAGCCACACUGGAACUGAGACACGGUCCAGACUCCUACGGGAGGCAGCAGUGGGGAAUAUUGCACAAUGGGCGCAAGCCUGAUGCAGCCAUGCCGCGUGUAUGAAGAAGGCCUUCGGGUUGUAAAGUACUUUCAGCGGGGAGGAAGGCGAUAAGGUUAAUAACCUUGUCGAUUGACGUUACCCGCAGAAGAAGCACCGGCUAACUCCGUGCCAGCAGCCGCCGUAA